AUUUCCUAAUUACUGUAUUAUUUAGAAACGGCAGUUAUGGUAUACGAACAUGUUCAACAUUUUAAGGGUAAAUUGGUAAUUCUAUCCAUGUCUUCUUAGAGGGACACGUAUGCUACAAUUAAUUUGACAAAACCACAAUUAAGCUCAACUUCAGUGUUAACAACUUCUCUCUCAUUCGCUGCUUCAAAGACCCAUCUCUGUGUGUGAGUAUAUCAACUUUCUUCUAAGUUUUUCUCCGUUCUUCGAUCUUUCAAUUUGUGAAAUUCUUUUGUUGAUGGGUCAACAUUUAAUUGGUAUCUCUUUUGCUCCGGAUUUUUCGGAAUAGUGUGCUUCCAAAGCCUCAAACUCUUUCCUCAUGGCAUCUUGCCAAGCUGGGAUAGGAGCUGCCUGGGAAUAUGUAUAUGGUUCAAAUUUUACUGGCUUAGAAGAGGAGCAAGAAAGGGAAUUGGGCAGCUUGUAGAUGUAAUCAUUUAAGUAAGAAGGAGGAUUAUGAGGUCUAUCAGAUUUUCUAAGGGGAAUAGAGGAUGGUGCAGGAGUAGCAGUAUCGGGAUUGAAGGAAGGAGAAGCAGGGGCAGAAUCAGGGACAGCAACUGAAGGAGAAACUGCAGCAUCUAUGUCAGGAGGAGAAGAGGUGCUGGGAGAAGUAGGAGAUGAAGAACCAUGUGUGAAAGGAGAAGCAGGAUGUGAUGUUGUGUUGGGGGGAACAUUAGUGGAAGAAGAGGGCAUAAGACAAUCAUGGGGAAAAGAAGGUAAAUGAGCAGGUGACAAAGGGGACUCAGAAACAACAGGAAAGGAGAAAUCUGAAUAAAAAGGAAAAUGCUGCUCAUGGAAAACCACAUCUCUGGAUAUGAAACACUGCUUGGAUUGCAAAUUAUACAACUUAUAGCCUUUCUUUGCAAAGGGAUAGCCAAGGAAUAUACAAGGAUUAGCUCUAGGUUUCAGUUUAUCUCGUUGAGGAAUUAGAACAGUGGCAAAACAAAGACAACCAAAAGUCCUUAAGUGAGAAUAAUUGGGCUUUUUUUGCCAAAUAGCAACUCAUAAGGAGAUUUAUUUUGAAGCAAGCUAGAGGGAAGUCUAUUUAUAAUAUAGGUGGAUGUGAGGAGACGGUCUCCCCAGAAUCUAAUGGGAACUUGGGACUGAAAAAGUAAGGCUCUAGAAGCUUCAAGAAGAGUUCUAUGCUUCCUCUCAACCACACCAUUUUGUUGAGGUGUGUGAGGGCAGCUUGUUUGAUGAAUUAUACCAUGUUCAGAAAAGAAGGAAAUAGCAGCAUGACUAGCUCCUAACUCUAAAGCAUUGUCAGACCUUAUACACUGAAUAGUCAUAUGAAAUUGUGUCUUUACAAGUGCAACAAAGACCUUAAGAAGAGGGAAAGCAUUACUCUUGGAGCCCAUUAAGUGAGUCCAAGUGCUUUCCAGUGAAAUGAUCAACAAUAGUAAGAAAGUAUUUAGAACCUGAGUAAGUAGGUGUGUGAUAUGGUCCCCAAGUGUCAACAUGGACAAGUUGGAAAGGCUUAGAGCUAUGAAUAGAGCUAUCAGGGAAAGGCAAUCUAGUUUGCCUAGCCAUUGGACAAACAUGACAUGUAAAAGACUGUGUGGAAGAAAUAGCAGAAGACACUUCAGGAAUACUUUUCAUUCUAAUAAAAGGAACAUGAGCAAGUCUACUACGCCAAACAAUAUCCAUCAUUUUAUUCAUAACAGCUUUAUUACAGGUGGAAGAAGCAGUAUUUACAAUAGAAGAAAUAGGAACAGGAUCACAAACAGAUGGUAAGCUGCAAGAAUUUGACAGAGUAGCUUGAUGUUGAGAAGGCUUUUCCCAUACAGACUUGUAUAACCCACAAUCCAGUUUACCAAGAUCCAGAGGCUUCUUCAGAGAGAAGGGUCCUGUAUGAGACAAGAAAGUCUGGUAAACUGAACUAUGCAAUCAAACUGGUCUGUGAGUUUAUGUACAGAAAUAAGAUUGUGUUUAAAAGAAGGUAGAUAGAGAACAUUUGUAAGAAUAAUGGAAUCAGUUAAGGCAAAGGAACAUGUACAAGUGACUUUAACUUUGUAUCCAUUUGAUAGGGAAACAAGGAAAGGAAUAGGUAAAGGUGUGAUAAUAUUAAUAAGGUAAUCUUUGUUAGAGGUCAUGUGAUCUGAUGCACCGGAGUCAACUAUCCAAGUUAAAGAAUCAGAUUGACUAAGUAGAGUAGAAUUAAAACUAUAUACUACAUGAUAAAUUUGUUACUUUAAGCUUCAUUUUUCCACCAGUUACUGAUUGAUCAAUAACAUGUCAAGCAUGUCUUAUCAAGUAUUGUUUCUACUUCUUCUUCAUUUAUCUACAGUGAAAUCUUCAAUUGUUUGCUCUCAAAUUCAUCAAACUAAAGCAUUUUAUGAUCCAAUUUAGUAGAGAUCUCUGUCUAUUUUGUAGUGCUUCUAAGGUUAGUACUGCACUUUAGAAUUUAGAUGCAUCAUGAGCUAAAAGCCUAAUUUAACAACUAAUGCCUGGUUGGUGAAACCUUUUAAUUCGCAAAUGGUAAUGGGAAAGUUACCUUGUGAUCCACCAUUCUAGCCUAUAACAUUAGUUUGUGGAGACGAAACAUUACUAAUGAAACAGUGCGAUUGGAUUGAUUAGCAGGGGAAAAAUAAAGGACUGCUGAUAUAUAAAUUUCAAAUAUUCUUUGUUGCAUCUACCAGUACAUUGCUGAUGGUAUUUUCUGUUUUAUGCCAUUUACCGACUUUUAAAUUGGGCCUACUGUUGCGAGUUAAUAUAUGCCUUAUUUCAGGCCAUUCUAGAGUAAACUGAAAUUUUGAGUAAGGAAGCCAUUAGGCCUAAGGUUGAGUUAUCGUUUCUUUUUUGGUAAUUAAGAAAGUUUUAUUAUCAGGGAAAAUAUAUGUACAAGUAAAGAAGCAAAACCCCUAAAGUUGGACAUAAGGCCCCAACUUUAGUAUAAGCAAACUAGCAUCUUAGACAAACUAUCAACGGCUAUCUACCAUUUGCAUCUCAGUUUACUACUUGAUUCAAAGCUAUAGCACUGGCUAGGGGUAAAAAUUCAAGUCUGCCACCUGCUUUGUUAGCCUUGGUUGCCAACUCAUUCUGCAUAUAACAUCAUGUAUGUUGUGUUGAGUUAUCUUUUUGCGCUAGAUAUUUAUGUUAAUUUCUAUUUCACUAAAAAUGCCCAAAGGUUUUUGGUUUAUGAUGGUACAUAUUCAUCUAUUCAAAAGCACCAAAUCCUUCAGUUAUAUAUGCUAUUGACAUCAUGUUUCUAUUUGCCGUGUCAUUAGAUUGCAAAUGUGUUUCUGCAAUUUCAUCAGGUACAUGAUUACUUAUCUCUGCUUUACUUAUGUAUCUGAUUAGAUUUUUAUGACAAUAACAUGUUUGAUUUUUUAUUAGAAAGGAAUAUUUUAAAGUCUGUCAAUUCAUUAGAUGUCUUUGAUCAAUAAUACGCGAGACUACAAAAAAAUAUUAACUCUUAGAUUCUGUGCACUAUUGGGUCAUGUUUUGCAUCAAGGGUGCAACAUGAAUCACUAUGUUGUUGAGAGUACUACAUCUAAUACUGGUGAUCUACUAAUUGAGAAAGGUUCCGAUUCUGCUGGUUCGUGCACGUCUUUAUGCAGCUGAAGUUGCACAUGCUCUUGAAUACAUAGUAUGGGAAUGAUUCGUUGAGAUAUUAAGGUACUUUUAUUACCUGGACACCUUUGUCAAUGAAAUAUAUUAGGAAAGUUUUGAGUUUAUAUUUAUGGCUGCCAGAAAACUUGCUACGUACUGCAGAUGGACAUAUUAAAAUCGUUAACUUUGGCAGUGUAAAACCAUGCAGGAUAACAGAAUAACAGUCCUUUUAUAUAUAACAUCAGGUAUAUCUUUCUUGAUGUUCGGUUGCUUCCGUAGAAAUUAGAAUCAGGUUAAGUUCCCAAAGAUAUGCUCUUUGUGCAUUUUUAUUACCAAAUUAAAUCACUUCUCCAGAUAAUAAAGCAUGCACUUUUGUGGGGACAGCUGCAAAGGUCCUCACAUUCAAAUGAAGGUUGGUAUGUAGAUGAUUUUAUCCUAUUUUAGAUCACUCAAUAAGAAAAUAUUUGUUGUAUGAUGCAGGAAUUUGUAGAGAUUUUGGUGAGCCUCAUUUUAGUUUCUGCUAAUCAACUUUCAGAAUACACCAACUUUGUCUGCCCUUUAAAUAUCAAUAUCAUAUUAAUGAACCUUUUAUACCCUUUAAGUUUUUUUCCCACCAUACUCUAGAAGUAUCAAUGUCAUAUUAAAAAGCAAAAGCAAAUAGCAUAUAGGACAUCCCUUUGCUUUUUUUUUUUUCCUCUUUGCAUACCCUUAAAUGAUAUUUUAGCUUAGAUUUGUCUCAGUAUCUGAUCAAGCACCGGAGAAGGAGAAAAUAGUUCAAGGAAGACUAGGAAUAGACAUUUCCCAACCACUGUGAAGAUUGAAGAAUAAUAGGAAAGUUUAUUUCUCAUUAUAUCAGAGAUAGAGCUGUCGUUGCCUGCAUUUUGGACGGAAGACAAACAACUGCCUGCAGUUACACAGCUUGAUAUAUUUUCAACAGGUUACUCCAUCACGGGAGAAAAAGGUCAACUAUUUUCAUCCUCAAAGCUUUCCAUAGCACGACUUGAGAUCUCAAAUGGCUGAUUGCAGGUGGACAAAAAAGGGACUUGCAUCAACUUUAGAAGUUUUAUUAAUUUUCACACUCCCAAGUUUGUGUGAUAAUUAUAAUUAAAAUAAUGGUACAUAAAAUACCUUUUGUAUGUGAUUCUAUAAUAUAGUGUCAAUUAUAACAUUCUAGCAUUCUACACAACCUUAUAGUGAAAGACAUUAGCUAAAUCUAUAUAGCCAUAUUAAUCA
Long non-coding RNA from Nicotiana tabacum (common tobacco), 4818 nucleotides. RefSeq lists it as uncharacterized. Lineage: Eukaryota; Viridiplantae; Streptophyta; Magnoliopsida; Solanales; Solanaceae. The record is from RefSeq and is a predicted model, not a curated record.